This 196-nucleotide ribosomal RNA is filed under the name uncultured bacterium. Its description in RNAcentral is "partial 16S ribosomal RNA". It matches the Rfam family "Bacterial small subunit ribosomal RNA", at positions 1293 to 1500 of the family's 1533-position model. The record is from RNAcentral.
UCGGAUUGCAGGCUGAAACUACGCCUGCAUGAAGCUGGAAUUGCUAGUAAUCAUAGGUCAGCAUACUAUGGUGAAUACGUUCCCGGGCCCUUGUACACACCGCCCGUCACACCAUGAGAGUUGAGAAUACCCGAAGUCCAUGUCAAAGUGGCCGAAGGUAGGCUUGAUGAUUGGGGUGAAGUCGUAACAAGGUAUC